GCAUAACGCGAAGAACCUUACCAGGCCUUGACAUGCAGAGAACUUUCCAGAGAUGGAUUGGUGCCUUCGGGAACUCUGAGACAGGUGCUGCAUGGCUGUCGUCAGCUCGUGUUGUGAAAUGUUGGGUUAAGUCCCGCAACGAGCGCAACCCUUAUCCUUUGUUGCCAGCGGUUCGGCCGGGAACUCAAAGGAGACUGCCAGUGAUAAACUGGAGGAAGGUGGGGAUGACGUCAAGUCAUCAUGGCCCUUACGAGUAGGGCUACACACGUGCUACAAUGGCAUAUACAAAGAGAAGCGACCUCGCGAGAGCAAGCGGACCUCAUAAAGUAUGUCGUAGUCCGGAUUGGAGUCUGCAACUCGACUCCAUGAAGUCGGAAUCGCUAGUAAUCGUAGAUCAGAAUGCUACGGUGAAUACGUUCCCGGGUCUUGUACACACCG
Molecule: ribosomal RNA, 438 nt
Filed under: uncultured bacterium
Lineage: Bacteria
Description: bacterial SSU rRNA
Rfam family: Bacterial small subunit ribosomal RNA
Source: RNAcentral